This 253-nucleotide ribosomal RNA is filed under the name uncultured bacterium. RNAcentral's name for it is "partial 16S ribosomal RNA". It matches the Rfam family "Bacterial small subunit ribosomal RNA", at positions 524 to 776 of the family's 1533-position model. The record is from RNAcentral.
UACGUAGGGUGCAAGCGUUAAUCGGAAUUACUGGGCGUAAAGCGUGCGCAGGCGGUUUUGUAAGUCUGACGUGAAAGCCCCGGGCUCAACCUGGGAAUUGCGUUGGAGACUGCAAGGCUUGAAUCUGGCAGAGGGGGGUAGAAUUCCACGUGUAGCAGUGAAAUGCGUAGAGAUGUGGAGGAACGCCGAUGGCGAAGGCAGCCCCCUGGGUCAAGAUUGACGCUCAUGCACGAAAGCUAGGGGAGCGAAUGGG